GGUUGUUGGUUUUUUCUGCAAAUCUUGGAUCACAAAUAUUCGUCACAAUAGCUAGCUGGGAAAGGUUUUCGCGAUAAACAUAUAUAGUUGUCGGCAAAGAAUACCUAUGACGACAGCUGUUUGUUUCGUCGGCACAAAUUCAACCUUAGACGAGGGAGUUUUUUCCGGGUUAGUUAACUUUGGCCGACAAAAUAAAGUCCUCACAAGUAAUUCGCUAUUAUUGCUACGAAGUGGUUUAUCAAUAAUCACGUUAGGGCUCUGCAAAUCAUUGAAUAAAUUCAACAAUGACAAUCAUAGUUUACUUACCCAAAUCAGUUAAUGAAUUAACUUCUUCCUACAUGAUCAAUAAGACAUACUCAAAGACUUUUCAUUAAACCCAAAAAAACAUAUAACCAACUUACAUUUCAAUCAAUUGCAGUAUUUCUAUGUACAAACCAUUUUGCAGCGAGCUUAGUGCAGAACUU
Molecule: long non-coding RNA, 464 nt
Filed under: Prunus dulcis (almond)
Lineage: Eukaryota; Viridiplantae; Streptophyta; Magnoliopsida; Rosales; Rosaceae
Description: sRNA ncRNA
Source: RNAcentral